GAUGAACGCUGGCGGCGUGCUUAACACAUGCAAGUCGGACGGGGAGGGGUGUUUCCUGUGGCGGACGGGAGAGUAACGCGCAAGAACCUGCCCUUGGGAGGGGAACCACAUCUGGGAGCGGCUACUAAUACACCCUAGGCUUAAGAGCACAUGAAGGAAUCCGCCAGAGGAGGGGCGCGCGUAUGAUUAGCUAGCUGCUGAGGCAAUAGCUUACCAAGUCGAUGAUCAGGUGCGGGUGGGAGAGGCUGAUCAGCCACACUGGGACUGAGACACCGCUCAGGCUCCUACGGGAGGCAGCAGUAGGGAAUUUUCCGAAAUGGGCGAGAGCCUGACGGAGCAAUGCCGCGUGGAGGUAGAAGGCCUACGGGUACUGAACUUCUUUGCGCAGAGAAGAAGAAAUGACGGUAUCUGGGGAAAAAGCAUCGGCUAACUCUGUG
Molecule: ribosomal RNA, 437 nt
Filed under: uncultured bacterium
Lineage: Bacteria
Description: partial 16S ribosomal RNA
Rfam family: Bacterial small subunit ribosomal RNA
Source: RNAcentral